CCUACGGGACGCAGCAGUGGGGAAUAUUGCACAAUGGGGGAAACCCUGAUGCAGCAACGCCGCGUGAGUGAUGACGGCCUUCGGGUUGUAAAGCUCUGUCUUCAGGGACGAUAAUGACGGUACCUGAGGAGGAAGCCACGGCUAACUACGUGCCAGCAGCCGCGGUAAAACGUAGGGGGCGAGAGUCGUCCGGAUUUAUUGGGUGUAAAGGGUGCGUGGAGGGGUAAUUAAGUUAGUUGUGAAAUCCCAUGGCUCAACUGUGGAACUGCAACUAAAA
Molecule: ribosomal RNA, 277 nt
Filed under: uncultured bacterium
Lineage: Bacteria
Description: partial 16S ribosomal RNA
Rfam family: Bacterial small subunit ribosomal RNA
Source: RNAcentral